AUUGAACGCUGGCGGAAUGCUUUACACAUGCAAGUCGAACGGCAGCACGGACUUCGGUCUGGUGGCGAGUGGCGAACGGGUGAGUAAUGUAUCGGAACGUGCCCAGUCGUGGGGGAUAACGUAGUGAAAAUUACGCUAAUACCGCAUACGAUCUAUGGAUGAAAGCGGGGGAUCGCAAGACCUCGCGCGAUUGGAACGGCCGAUAUCAGAUUAGGUAGUUGGUGGGGUAAAGGCCCAGCAAGCCCAAGAUCUGGAGCUGGUCUGAGAGGACGAACAGGCACAGUGGAACGGAGAGACGGUAGAUACGCCUACGGAAGGCAGCAGUGGGGAAUGUUGGACAAUGGGCGAAAGCCUGAUCCCGCCAUUCCGCGUGCAGGAUGAAGGCCCUCGGGUUGUAAACUGCUUUUGUACAGAACGAAAAGGUUUCCACUAAUACUAGGAGCUCAUGACGGUACUGUAAGAAUAAGCACCGGCUAACUACGUGCCAGCCGCCGCGGUAA
Molecule: ribosomal RNA, 500 nt
Filed under: uncultured bacterium
Lineage: Bacteria
Description: partial 16S ribosomal RNA
Rfam family: Bacterial small subunit ribosomal RNA
Source: RNAcentral